AACAAACGCUGGCGGCAGGCCUAACACAUGCAAGUCGAACGAUAUAGUGGCAGACGGGUGAGUAACGCGUGGGAACGUACCUUUCACUACGGAAUAGCUCCGGGAAACUGGUGGUAAUACCGUAUACGCCCUCAGGGGAAAGAUUUAUCGGUGAAAGAUCGGCCCGCGUUGGAUUAGCUAGUUGGUGAGGUAAUGGCUCACAAAGGCGACGAUCCAUAGCUGGUCUGAGAGGAUGAUCAGCCACACUGGGACUGAGACACGGCCCAGACUCCUACGGGAGGCAGCAGUGGGGAAUCUUGCACAAUGGGCGAAAGCCUGAUGCAGCCAUGCCGCGUGAAUGAUGAAGGCCUUAGGGUUGUAAAAUUCUUUCGUCAGGGAUGAUAAUGACCGUACCUGAAGAAGAAGCCCCGGCUAACUUCGUG
RNAcentral lists this ribosomal RNA (422 nucleotides) under uncultured bacterium. RNAcentral describes it as "bacterial SSU rRNA". It matches the Rfam family "Bacterial small subunit ribosomal RNA", at positions 29 to 507 of the family's 1533-position model. The record is from RNAcentral.